UGAUUGUGUGCGUCAUUCCCCAGUGUUCCCAGCCAGCCAAUCCUUUCUCACAUUUCAUGUCCUGCCCAACCCCGAUAUGUCUCCUCCUCAUUCAGUGCUUCCUCUUCACACAUCUCUGGGCAGCUACAAAAGGCAGGUCCCUGAAAGGACAGGGCCUUUUUCCCCAUGGUUCCCUGCUGGUUCUUUGUGGCCAUGCUGGCCCCUGUGGUGUUGGCUCUGGAACAGUCCCCAGACACAGUGAUACGACAAGGCCAGUCCACGAAUCUGAGCUGUUCCGAGAAGAAAUCCUCCAACACGGUUAUGUACUGGUUCAAGCUGCCUUUGGGGAAGGACUCCAGGCUAAUCCUAGUGGCUUCUGCAAUAGAAGGUACUAAAGCAAACGUUGAGGAGGAAUUCCGCAGCCGUUUCAGCAGCAGUGAGAUACAAGGAGACAGCGUGACCCUCUUGAUACAGCGUGCCUUUCUCAAUGACUCGGGCAUGUAUUACUGUGCUGAGAGUGAAACACAGUGGCUAGGCUGCUGAGGGAGCUGAGCGCAAAACUCCUGCUGCACAAAAGGGACCUGCUUUCCUCCUUGUUGGUGCUGCACAAGGCAGGAUGAUCCCUUUCCACUCAUUACCUCCUCUGCUUCCUAGCCUUCCCUUCCUCCUCUUCUCAGACUCUGUGAGUUUAUUUGCCCUGCUUUCUCUCCUUGCCACCCCACUCCUCCUUGCCUCCCUCUUCGUUUAACUCUCAUUUCCAUUAUAUUCACUUCCGUCAAUGCUUCUUCCCCUCUCUGCCUCCCUUUCUCUCCCCACCUUCUUCUGUCUGUCUUCAAUCUGCACUCCACAGGCUUCCUCUAACUCCAGCCAACCCUGCUCAUCCUUCUCGCUGUCAAACAGAAAGGAUGUUCGUGUGAGAAGUUCUUGGUGCACCUUUAGAUACAGGCAAGGCCAGGCAGGGGGUGUAAUAGCCAGUACCAAGUGGGAGCUGCCCACAUGCUCCUGUGUUACAACGACCUAUUUGAGGUUAUUCUGCAGCCAAGGGAUACGUGCAGCACAGCACAGGCCUGCGCCUACUCAGGUAGGCUGUUAUGUAGACCACUAACUCCUCCGUGUACAGUGGUCUCCAGGUCAGGAUCGCUACCUUCCACCCCUUGAUCCACCUAGACUUUACCUUUCCCAAAAAUAUUACAUAAAUCACAGAUUGUUAACAAGCUGUGCAGCUAACUGAAAGUUUCCUGACUGGUUAGAGUGUUCUCUCUGUCAUAACGUACAGCAGUGUGCGGCACAAGCCGGCACGGGGCAGGUUCCCACACUGCAGCUUCUCAUGUUAACAUGCUGGCUUCUCAAGCCCUAAGCACAAGGCCCAACAGAGCAGGCAUGGCCUGUUCGGAUCACUAGCUCCUCGAACACCACGUGUUCUGCAAGGCUCCCAAUGCACUGCCCUGCCACCUGCACAUCCUGGGGAACCCCAUGGGAAAUGGAGACCCCUCCCAUGGACACAUCAGGCACAGCCUCCUCUCAGCUGGAGUGCUGGGAGUGUUGGGGAGGGUGUUCUUCCUGUUGCCCGCACAAUUUAGCCCACCGUCUUUGUUCGUUUCUCCCUUUCCUUCUGAGGAAUCCGGGGUCAUUCCUGAAUCUCCCGUAGGCAGUUUGUGGAAAUGAAUGCAAUGGGACACACUUGGACCUGCAACAGAGGGCCUGGGAGCUGGAGGCGUUGCUGCAACCUUCUGCUAAAAGGACACAGAGGAACGUCUUCACUGCAAAGCCCAUGACACCCUUGAGCAGCUGGAUCGUGCGCUCUCUGGUAUGGGCCGGCCUUCCACUGUGUGCAUUGCUGAGCCCACUGCUCAUACAGUGAAUACCCUUCUCAGAAAUCACUCUGUGGUGCAGUCUCCCGAGAGGCAGUCCCAGUGCAGAGCCAAAAGCAGCCUUUUCUCUGCUUGAGA
Molecule: non-coding RNA, 1928 nt
Organism: Aquila chrysaetos chrysaetos
Lineage: Eukaryota; Metazoa; Chordata; Aves; Accipitriformes; Accipitridae
Source: the annotation of a RefSeq genome assembly